Molecule: ribosomal RNA, 256 nt
Filed under: uncultured bacterium
Lineage: Bacteria
Description: partial 16S ribosomal RNA
Rfam family: Bacterial small subunit ribosomal RNA
Source: RNAcentral
UACGUAGGGUGCAAGCGUUAAUCGGAAUUACUGGGCGUAAAGCGUGCGCAGGCGGUUUUGUAAGUCUGUCGUGAAAUCCCCGGGCUCAACCUGGGAAUUGCGAUGGAGACUGCAAGGCUAGAAUCUGGCAGAGGGGGGUAGAAUUCCACGUGUAGCAGUGAAAUGCGUAGAGAUGUGGAGGAACACCGAUGGCGAAGGCAGCCCCCUGGGUCAAGAUUGACGCUCAUGCCACGAAAGGCGUGGGGAGCAAACAAGG